ACGAAGUGUUGCUGCAGUGGUUGCAAAGCCAACUCCAGUGUCCCUGAAAUUGGAUGCAGUGCUCAUGCUGUGGAUGAAGUGUCCCACAAUGUGCAUGCAGUAUGUUGUGAUGGAGGAUGCAGUGCCCAUGAAGGUGGAUGCAGUGAUCCUGCAGUGGUUGCAGUGCCCCCUGCUGUUUACCUGAUUGUGGAUGCAGUGCUCAUGCAGUGGAUGCAGUGUCCCCCAAGGUGGAUGCCUUAUGAUAUGAUGGAGGAUUCAGUGAUCAUGAAGGUGGAUGCAGUGAUCCUGCAGUCAUUGCAGUGCACCUGCAUCUCCUCAUCAGCUGGAAGCAGUGUUGCUGCAGUGGUUACAGUGCCGCCUUCUGUGUCCAUGAAUGUGAAUGCAGUGCCCAAGCAGUGGAACAGUGUACCUAAAAGUUUAUGCAAUAUGUUGUGACGGAGGAUGCAGUGUGCAUGAAGGCAGAUGCAGUGUCCCUGCAGUGGUUGCAGUGCCCACUGCAUUGUCCAAGAACGUGGAUGCAGUGCCAAGAUGUUGGAUGCAGUGUCCAACAAGGUGCAUGAAGUAUGCUGUGACGGAGGAUGCAUUGCCCAUGAAGGUGGAUGCAGUGAUCCGGCAGUGCACCCUGAUCUGUUCCUCAAUGUGCAUGCUCUGAACAUGCAGUGGAUGCAGUGAUCCUGCACUGACUGCAAUGUGCCUGCAGGGCAACUUCUGCUGGAUGCAGUGUAGCUGCAGUGGUUGCAGAGCCCCCUGCCGUUUACC
RNAcentral lists this long non-coding RNA (759 nucleotides) under Equus caballus (horse). RNAcentral's name for it is "lncRNA (ENSECAG00000047901.1)". Lineage: Eukaryota; Metazoa; Chordata; Mammalia; Perissodactyla; Equidae. The record is from RNAcentral.